GUGUCAGCAGCCGCGGUAAUACGGGGGGAGCAAGCGUUGUUCGGAUUUACUGGGCGUAAAGGGCGCGUAGGCGGUCAGCACAAGUCAGUUGUGAAAUCUCCGGGCUUAACUCGGAAAGGUCAACUGAUACUGUGCGACUAGAGUGCGGAAGGGGCAACUGGAAUUCUCGGUGUAGCGGUGAAAUGCGUAGAUAUCGAGAGGAACACCUGCGGCGAAGGCGGGUUGCUGGGCCGACACUGACGCUGAUGCGCGAAAGCCAGGGGAGCGAACGGGAUUAGAAACCCUCGUAGUCC
This 293-nucleotide ribosomal RNA is filed under the name uncultured bacterium. RNAcentral's name for it is "partial 16S ribosomal RNA". It matches the Rfam family "Bacterial small subunit ribosomal RNA", at positions 505 to 796 of the family's 1533-position model. The record is from RNAcentral.